This 255-nucleotide ribosomal RNA is filed under the name uncultured bacterium. RNAcentral describes it as "partial 16S ribosomal RNA". It matches the Rfam family "Bacterial small subunit ribosomal RNA", at positions 523 to 776 of the family's 1533-position model. The record is from RNAcentral.
GUACGGGGGGGCAAGCGGUUGUUCGGAAUUACUGGGCGUAAAGGGCGCGUAGGCGGCCUUCUAAGUCGGACGUGAAAUCCCUCGGCUUAACCGAGGAACUGCGUCCGAUACUGAAAGGCUUGAAUCCGGGAGAGGGAUGUGGAAUUCCAGGUGUAGCGGUGAAAUGCGUAGAUAUCGAGAGGAACACCUGCGGCGAAGGCGGGUUGCUGGGCUGAUGACUGACGCUGAGGAGCGAAAGCGUGGGGAGCGAACAGG